GGAGGGAAUGAUUUCUUUUGGAGAUUGCUCCUCUUGGAGUCUUCUCAGCUAAGCCCAGGAUAAGGCUGCUGGGGACGUGGCAGUACGUGGCUGGAGCUGCACAGCUCCCCCAGCACCUCCUGGAGCUGCUGCUCAUCGAUCACGGCCACCUCCACGUGGAGCCCAGCGGCGGGCAGGAGCUGCUCAUCACCCAGCACGUGGCAGUGUGAGGCACCCGCUUUCCAUCCCCGGUCGUUUUCUCCCACCCCAUUCCCUCUGCGGGUGCCCCAGCAUCCCCAUUCUCUGCAGGGGUGACCGAUGCCUCUCCAACAACUCCACCUCCAUCCACCUCGGUGCCAACGGCACGGCGCUGCUCAAGGAUGCCACAACGCAGCGCAUCCUGGGGGCGGUGACAAAGCUCAGCUCUGAGGACACUCUGCUCAUCCAGCACCACGUGCAGAGGGAGAGGACGUAUUCAGCUCUGUAUCUCUAUGCCCGCAAUCGGACGGUGAGCAGCACGCAGCAGGAGGAGCUGGGGCAGCAGGCAGAGAGCCUGGGGCUGAGCAGAGGGGCGGUGGUGUACGCGCCGUGGAGGAAGGAGCUGUGCCAACCGGGAGAGAAGGGAAGGAUGGAAGAAAGGAAGGAUGGAGGAGCGCGAGGCACAGCCCUGCCAAGCACCCCAACGGGGAGCCUGCAGCAAUAAAUGCUUUGCUCAGAGCUGUAGCACCACCCGAGCAGGACGUGCAAAAAGGAACCGAGCGCCUGGUUUAUUUUGCGUGUCGUUGCCCCAGCGUUUGGGACGAGCCGUCCUGCAGCGAGCCGGGCUGCGGGGCCGGCAGUGGGUGAUGGUGGGCACCGCUGGGCACGGGGUGAGCGGAUCCCUGCAGGGUGAUGGCUGGCCAGGAGAGGGCAAUCGGCGCCCGCUCGUGAGGCUGUGCCCGGCUGCGGAUCUCACCCAUCCCACGGGAUUUUGCUUCUCCAAAAAGGGCUCGAUGUGUUAUGGCGAAGUGCCGGGGUGCAGCGCGGUUUUGCUCUGUGGUUGUGGAAGCUGGAGGUUAAACAAGGCCAGGGCUGAGCUGGAAGGUAACCGAGGCUCAGCUCUCAUCCAGCAAUUAAGCACUAAAAAUAUCUCCUAAAAAAGGACGCAGAGCAGCAGAGCCCUGCGCUGCCCCCCGCUGCGGCUCCGGGUUUGUCCGUGCCCUGUAAGGCAGCGCUGCUCUGUUGAGCCUUCACUAAAGGAAACGGGGCUGGAAGUGUUCUACGAAGCGAGAUGAGCAGAUCCGCUCCCGGUCCCAGGGCAGGGAGCUCCCAACGCUCUGCUGCCACAUCCCCACCAGCUGCACCCCUCACCCUGCUGCAGUCCAGCAGCCGAAGGGCUGGGCAGGGCAGCGGGUGCUGCCAGGGGCUCUGAGAACACCCUGAGUGACAUCACGGAACGCAGCCCUCAGAUUGCAAGGAGCAGCACUCGAUAAGUAGAUUUAUGGAUGAGUAAGAGCCUUGAAUUGCAAUUGGAGACGCAGGAACCAACCCCAGCACAGCCCCAGCUGCACGCUGUUGGACACAGAGGCUGCUUGCACUACCAGCUGUGGGCUCCUGGCACUUUCAGCUCACAGGUGGUUUUUGUUUAAGACAGAAAUGGAACAAAACCUCUUCUGAGAAUCUCUAAAGCCUGUUUUUUUCAUGGGCACAAGUGCACUGCAGAGCUCCCACGUUUUCCAGGACGCUCCUCUGAGUGCAGACACUGAACAGAUGAGCAAAACGCAACAGCACACAGCUAAGCUGACAGCACCCACGUGUCCCUGACCCUUCACCAUCAUUAAUUGUUUUUUUUUAAAUCUCAUUUCCACUCUUCUUUCCCUCAGGAAGAAUUCUGUUCUCCCAGGUCCUUGUAGGGAAAACUGCUCCCACCAUCAGCAUCCUUGGUGACAAUCAUCCUAAGGAGGAAAAAUCUGAUCACAGGCAGCACCAACCCCUCAUAGAGAGACAUGGACACGAGGGGUCUCUUUGACAGACCUUUAUUAGCAGACUGUUCCCUACAUGAAGAAUCUGAGUUAGAUUUGCAUUAUAACAAUUUGUGGUUACAGCUACAAAGACAGUUGUCAUUUUGCAUUGAUUUUUGCAUUCUGAUAUUCAUUGUCUCAUUAGGCCACACUGGUAGGAAGAAGCCACUGCAAAAAUUUACCAUAGAUCUUAAAAAAAAAAAAAAAAAAAAA
Molecule: non-coding RNA, 2192 nt
Organism: Phasianus colchicus (ring-necked pheasant)
Lineage: Eukaryota; Metazoa; Chordata; Aves; Galliformes; Phasianidae
Source: RefSeq, a predicted model, not a curated record